GCCAGACAAGAAGGCUGGCACACAGCCCCUACUGCUGGGGCUGCAUCUUUAAGACCUGCAGGCGGACAUCUGGCCCGCUGCUGCCUGGAUGAGAAAGGUCCCAGCCUUGAGGGUCCUUGAGUACCAGGUCAUGCCCAUCUGCAUCUUUUCUGCCAGUGUCCUGUGCCCUCCUGGGGUGGACUACCUUUAUGUUAAAGAUCUCUCAUCUAGAGGAGGAAAGACAAGCUUGACUCUCCUUGCAACCAGGAAAUUAGGCUUUCAUCAGACCUGUACCACUGGGGACUGUGAGGGUCAGCAGACAGAAAUGGGGUCUCUGCCUUCAGAGCACUUUUGA
This 334-nucleotide long non-coding RNA is filed under the name Capra hircus (goat). RNAcentral's name for it is "lncRNA (ENSCHIG00000003757.1)". The record is from RNAcentral. Lineage: Eukaryota; Metazoa; Chordata; Mammalia; Artiodactyla; Bovidae.